RNAcentral lists this long non-coding RNA (2114 nucleotides) under Equus caballus (horse). RNAcentral describes it as "lncRNA (ENSECAG00000047903.1)". The record is from RNAcentral. Lineage: Eukaryota; Metazoa; Chordata; Mammalia; Perissodactyla; Equidae.
GCUGGCAAAGACUCUGAAGUGGAGUCUCAGCUGGGAGUAACUAAGAAAGGGGGUGAGGACUUCUGCCUUUUGAAGGGGAAAUAACUCAUAUGCAAACAAGAUGCAAAUAGGAACGCAAAUAAGCGCCUAUGCCCUGGGCGGUCUGCGCUCUAGCACUAGUGUAACGACUGCCACCCCUCCCCCCCGCCGUCCCCCCUUCCGCCCACCUCUCAGGGUUGCUGGGAAAACGUGGGACCCUCUCGAAGAUCAUGACUAUAAUAUCCAGUUUAUUGCGCGCGGCUCCUCAGAUCACUUCACUAUGACCUCUCUCCUGCAUCUGCCUUUCGCACACCAUUGAGGGUCUUAUAUCCUAUGUAAUCAGCUAGGACUUCUGGAUAUCAGGACCCUCCUCCUCCUCUUGCUGCCUGCUUGGGGUCACUUCCAGUUCUGCCUUGACUCCUUCCCCAUUUUACCCAGCCCAUUCCCCUACCCCUUGUGGCCACUAGAGGGCCCCGGGGCCCCAGGGGUAGAUGAGACCUUACCCAUCCUUCACUAUGUUGGCACUCUGCUCCCCACGCACCACCUCUAGUGAAUUCCUGAGAGUAGUUUGGACACUCAAAACCUGAGCUUACUUUAGUUGGGAAGAGAACAUUGCAAGGCAGCUGCCGCAUCUUUUUCCCUUCUAGAGAAGUGGGGAGGUGUAGGUCAGGGAACCAUCUCCUGGCCUGUGUGGAUUAGGUUAAAAGGACGGAGCUGGGGGUUGAGGUGGAAGUGAGAAAGCAUGGAGUGGGUGCAGAAUGGGGGUGAUAGUCCCCUCCACACUUUUGCUUACCUGGUCCUGCCUCCCAGGCCACUUAGGCCACCAUCCCAAGCACCAGUUCAGAAGAGGCUAACUGAGAAAGGCCCUGAAUCUGAGAUGAGAAAAUCUGGGUUCACUAAAUGACUAUCCUACUGCAGUGUGCUGUGGGCAUGACUUUGGAUGGGUCACUUCACCUCUCUGGGCCUGUUUCCUUCACAUUAACACGGGAUAAUUACCCUUGUCCUGCCUACUUUUGAAGUAGAUUUUGUAAAGCUCAAAGCACUGUGUAGUGUGAAAAGGGAUCUCAGAGUGGUACAUGAGGUUUUUGUUAUUCUCCCCAUUCCUCUCUGCCAUCUUUUCACUUUUAGGGCUCUCUUUCCAGCUCUGACACCCUCCUUGCAUCACUGGCAGUCUCUCUGCUUUUCUCCCUCCUUCAGCUCCCCACCACUUGUCCCAUAACAUGCCACAGCCCUGGGCCCUGCCUUCUUCUACCUACCAUUUCCCCAGUGGUCUUUGCCAGACAUCCCCUCCCCUGGCACUAGGCCCUUGGGUUCAGAACUCUCAGACUCUGGGUCCAUCUCCAGGCACUGCCCCGGCUUGGCAGGAGCAGGGCCUAAGAAAGGAAAAGGCCAGAGCUUGAGUCAGGGAAGGGCUGGAGCUGGCCAAGCAGGGUACAGGCUAUGAGCGGGAGAGGAGCACCAGAUUCAGACGGGAAGAUGAAUUCUGUUUCCACCUUCAUCACUACCCCCUGUCUGGUUGGAUUCAGGACCUUACCCCUUCUCCCUGCUGCGCCCUGGGGCGAGGGUGGGGCAUGGGACCAGGGAAGAGCACUGACCUGCAUUUUGUGGAUGCCUAAAGAAGGGUGCUGAGCUGCCAGGGAUAAGAAAUAGAGUACUAUGCUGAUGUGAAAAAGAAUGAGCGAGCUUUAAAUGUACUGAUGUGGAAUCCUGCACAAGGUAUAUUAAGGGAAAAAAGCAAGGGGCAGAACAGUGUGUAGAGUAUGUCAUCAACCAGAAGAACAACCAUAUGCAGAAUCCAGACACUCCUCACCGCUGCUAUUGCUAGAAGCCAGCUCUGAGCCACCAACAUGUCUGGCCCAGAUUGUGUCCAUUGCCUCCUAAUAGUUCUCUCCUAUUCUACCCUGGCUCCCCUAAGGUCUAUUUUCAACCUAACAUAGGAGCCUUUUAAAUAAAAUAUCAGCUCAUGCUCGACACCCUGCAGUAGUUCCUCAUUUCACUCAGCAUAAAAGCUCAAGUUCUUACCAAGGCUUCCUAGACCCUCUGGGACCUGCCUCCACGCCCAACCCCAGCUCGACUUUUUCUUUUUUCCAUAGCAC